GAUGAACGCUGGCGGCGUGCCUAACACAUGCAAGUCGAACGGAGUCGUUUUGGAAAUCUCUUCGGAGAUGGAAUUCUCGACUUAGUGGCGGACGGGUAAGUAACGCGUGAGCAAUCUGCCUUUAAGAGGGGGAUAACAGUCGGAAACGGCUGCUAAUACCGCAUAAAGCAUCAAAUUCGCAUGUUUUUGAUGCCAAAGGAGCAAUCCACUUUUAGAUGAGCUCGCGUCUGAUUAGCUAGUUGGCGGGGUAACGGCCCACCAAGGCGACGAUCAGUAGCCGGACUGAGAGGUUGAACGGCCACAUUGGGACUGAGACACGGCCCAGACUCCUACGGGAGGCAGCAGUGGGGAAUAUUGCGCAAUGGGGGAAACCCUGACGCAGCAACGCCGCGUGACUGAAGAAGGCCUUCGGGUUGUAAAGAUCUUUAAUCAGGGACGAAAAAAUGACGGUACCUGAAGAAUAAGCUCCGGCUAACUACGUGCCAGCCGCCGCAGUAA
This 498-nucleotide ribosomal RNA is filed under the name uncultured bacterium. RNAcentral describes it as "partial 16S ribosomal RNA". It matches the Rfam family "Bacterial small subunit ribosomal RNA", at positions 28 to 523 of the family's 1533-position model. The record is from RNAcentral.